Molecule: long non-coding RNA, 328 nt
Organism: Apis florea (little honeybee)
Lineage: Eukaryota; Metazoa; Arthropoda; Insecta; Hymenoptera; Apidae
Source: RefSeq, a predicted model, not a curated record
CAGAUUGCAUGGCCUGAGGAUUUCACGGAGGAAGCGAGAAUCGAGCGUCGCGAUGGGGUGAAAAGACGCAGAGGCAACGCGGCCGAUAUCCUCCCCCAGGGGCUAUUUAACAGCGCAGCCAAGAAGCAGGGGGUGAAGGUCGACGAUAGCUGCGCCACGCACACAGAGAGUGGCGGACACACAGAAGGCAGGUAAGUUUAAUAUCUUCAUGUAGCAAAGCGUGCACGAGCAACUAGAAAGAGGAAGGAAACCAAGAGAUUAUUGCUUCAAUAUUGCCUCGGUGUCAGGCGUCGUAGGAACGUCUGUGUGUAUCCUUCCGUUCCUCUAC